Long non-coding RNA from Carya illinoinensis, 1110 nucleotides. RefSeq lists it as uncharacterized. The transcript is spliced from 2 exons. Lineage: Eukaryota; Viridiplantae; Streptophyta; Magnoliopsida; Fagales; Juglandaceae. The record is from RefSeq and is a predicted model, not a curated record.
UAGGGUCUUCUUUAUUUCAGCGGCAAAAAGGUUCAUGUCGCUGGAUGAAUGCCACGAAUCAUGAGUAGCAUCCAAACCCUACUCGUCACUCUUUAUAUCUAUAAAUAGACGCAGUUUGCAGAUCUUUCAACCACGCGAACCCUACUCUGGCCGUUACAGUUACUCCAUCCUAGGAAUCAAGCAUCUAUGAGAAUUGAAGUUGAUUCUUGUUCAAUCCCAUGAACUUCUUUGUGGCACAUGUGAAGAAGCAUUAUGUUUUGGUAUUCAACAAACGGAUUAUGGUCAUGUUCUCGAGGCCAUCUUCUAAGUUGUCAAUAAAUGGAGUUUGAGUUCCAUUUUUGAGAUGCUGAGGGCGAAUUCAGGACUCUGGUGGAUCAAAGACCAAAAAUAAGAUUCAUAUUUUCUCUGGCUGCCAUGCAUCGUCUAGCUAAAGUCUUUUCUUUAAUCUUGAAAAAGAUUUCAAAUGAUUUUAGGUUGACGAUGCAGGACAGCAAGAGAAAAAUUGGUGUUUAGCCUAAUCUCUGUGCAUAAUUCAAGGAACACUGAUAUUUUUAUAAAGAUGGUGACGACAUCAGCACCAUUGCAUAUAGCAAAGAUGUUAUCAGCUUGCACGGCAUUCCCAGUGCAACUAAGGUUCUAUCUCAUUUCAAGUUUCUUUUGUUCAACUUCUUUCAUCUUUUUUGUAGGAAGGGAUAACUUUCCAGACGGAAUUCUACGUAUGUCUAUCGCCCAGGAACUGGAUUCAACAAAGAAUUGCGGGUGUUGUGAAGAACUCACAACCAUCAACUUCCUUAAUCCCUAAUCAAUGCACAUGACACCCUAACACCCUACUCCCUGUUUGAGAAAAAUACAACCUAAAAGGAAAACCGUAUCUGUCGUGUUCAGAAUUAAUCUAUAGCCAGGGAUGUCAGCUGCUUUCACCAUGCAUAAUGGUAAUAUCUCUGGUGCACCUUUGCAGAUGCAGAGAGAAUUGCAGAUGGCAUCUGCAGAGAGAACGUUCUCCCUCACUUUUAAAUUUCUUUUGCAUAAAUUAUUUUUGUUGGAGGGGCACAUAACUUUCGAAAGAAAAAACUUGUAACACAUGAUAUUAGGAUUUCUCAACUUCUCAAA